GAUGAAGAACGCAGCGAAAUGCGAUACGUAAUGUGAAUUGCAGAAUUCAGUGAAUCAUCGAGUCAUUGAACGCACAUUGCGCCCCCUGGUAUUCCGGGGGGCAUGCCUGUCCGAGCGUCAUUGCUGCCCUCAAGCACGGCUUGUGUGUUGGGCCUCCGUCCUCCUCCCGGGGGACGGGCCCGAAAGGCAGCGGCGGCACCGCGUCCGGUCCUCGAGCGUAUGGGGCUUCGUCACCCGCUCUUGUAGGCCCGGCCGGCGCUUGCCGACACAUCAAUCUUUUUUCCAGGUUGACCUCGGAUCAGGUAGGGAUACCCGCUGAACUUAAGCAUAUCAAUAAGCGGAGGU
Molecule: unclassified non-coding RNA, 345 nt
Filed under: soil metagenome
Description: partial contains 5.8S ribosomal RNA, internal transcribed spacer 2, and large subunit ribosomal RNA
Rfam family: 5.8S ribosomal RNA (bases 1-120)
Source: RNAcentral